This is a non-coding RNA of Rattus norvegicus (Norway rat), 7291 nucleotides long. Lineage: Eukaryota; Metazoa; Chordata; Mammalia; Rodentia; Muridae. The record is from RefSeq and is a predicted model, not a curated record.
UCGCCACGUCAGCACUCGGCCGCCCUCAGCCCCGCCCAUAGGGGUGGAGUCGGGUGUCUUCUAUGCUAACACGGUUCAGCUCUGUUUCUGAGGUGGGACUCUCGGUUUCCUCUGGCCAGCCGACUGACUCCUGCUGCCUCCUCUUCCCCUCCCCAAUCCCUGCUGGGCUCUGAUAACUGCACAGAGGACUUAAUUCUUACAGAAGGCAGAAACCAGUGAGUCAAAGAGUCCGGUGGUUACUAGAUGGUCCCGCCCACCUGCUCUAGGCUCAAGUUUCGUUUUCCCUGAGUUUCAUUUUUCUCCACUUCUGGAGUUAUUUCUGACCUUCAAAACAAAACAUCUGACGAUAGCCUUGUGCAACUGGCAAAUUUAGAAAAGCUAGCCUAAAAAACUGCAUUGUUAAGUUUGUACUGCUGAGCAAGGAUGCAGAUGUGGUAUGCAUUGUCAUCCUACUCUUUCUUCCUGAGGCCCUUGUCCUAAUACUCAUUAGAACCUUUUUUUAUAGAAGAAGCGUUGAUUGAAUAAUAAACUUCACUUGCCAGACCCACUGGGAGUUCUGUAUACCAGACUAAUUAUGGAACUGAAGGAGUGAUUGUAUUCCAGCUGGGUCACACAGACCUAGAGGGUCUUUGGAUGUGAGUCCCUAGCCAGAGCAUUAAAACUCCUCUACACCAUCACUUGUAAGUCCAAUUACAAGACUGAGAAGAGAACAAAACUACUGGAGAGAAAAAAGACUCAAAACUCCUGAAAGAGGCUCUGAAUUACUAAUGGGAAAGCUGGAAAGUUUGAGCUUAAUGAAAGUACAGAUAACAACCUGGAUGAUAAGAACCACAACUGUAACACAUUAAGCGACCAAAACUACCCACCCCAACAUAAAGGAUUGGAACAAUGGUCUUCUUAUAUGUUACUGCUGAAUUGGGGUGAAGAAUUCCUGUUUUGGGCUCCAAGGAAAAAGAUGGUUACCCUGAAAAAAAAGGUAGCUCUAGCAUUUAUCUCUGGGUUUAUCCAGUUUGUAUUAUCUGUUGUUUGGGCUCUAAGGAAGGAGGGGGGGGGAAUAGUUAGUCUGAGAAAAGCUAGCGUAGCCUUUAUUACCCGGUUUUUGUAUUUACCCAGUCUCUGCCUUGUCUAUUCAGUCUGUGUGUUGUCUGUCUCUUUGUGAGUGAUCAUUUGAACUAGCCCUUUUGAAGAUGAUUUGAAUGCAUUUCUUUUUUUUGAGAAAUCAGUAAUGGAGGCAGUCUGUGAAUCAUUUGGGCUAUUUGCUUUGUGAAGACACCCAUGUCUCAAAGGAUAAAAGGUUUUCUUUGGUCAGAUCUGAUUUUUAUAAGUUUUGUUGAUAUCCAUAUUUUUUCAUUCUUUGUAGAUAUAUAAGUCCCCAUCUUAAAACUAUUGCAGGUUUUUAUUCUAAUAUCAACACAUCCUUAAAGUAUAUUGGUUGGCCUAGUUCCUCAGUUUUGUUUUGUUUUGUUUUUUUGAUAAACCAAUGUCUCUCAGCUGCAGUUGUUCCUUUUUUCACUAACAUUAAGAAAUUUGAGAGUAAACAAUGCACUAUUUAGUCUGUCCCUGGGAGUUUUUACUCUCCCUUUCUGUUUUCUCCACUUUUAAGGUACAAUUGGCUCUUUCUAUAAUUGCUUGUCCUGUGGGAUUGUGUAGUAUACCAGUAACAUGCUUUUAUAAUAUGCGAAGAGUUGCUUUUUCUUAUUGGGUACAUAUGCAGGAGCACUGGCAGUUUUAAUUUGUGCAGGUAUCCCCAUAAUUGCCAUUUCCAAUAAAUGUGUAAUUACAUAUUUCAGGCACCUAGAAGAAGGGCAGGGCAGCAGUUUACUUCCAGCCUAGUUUGCUUCCCCAUUUCAUGAUGCAGGACAUUCCCGUUCUCAUUCACCAAGCAUGAACUUUUCUCUCCUUACAGUGCCCUUUUUGUUUUCCAAGCACUUCUACCUCUAUCUGCAAAUUCUCUAAAUGGAUAGCCAAUUCUGAAGUCUUCUCUAACAGUAGAGAAUUGACUGGUCUCUCAUUAAACUUUUUCAAAAUAGUAUGCAUGAAAACUACAAAGCAAAACCAAAACACCCCUUCUGGGAUCAAGGCAGGAUACCACCCAGCUGCCAUUUUACCAAACUACUUAAGCAAUAUUGCUAACUGCUCAUAAUCUGCCAUUUCCUUUACAUUAGAAAUAGAGUUACCCAUUAUGCCUUAGCCACAAUGGGUGACACCUGUAAUUUCCACGAUUUCAAACUUUAUUUUUAAUGAUGAUUCUUGAAUGCUUUGUAGCCCACCACUCACCAGAGGUAGUGGAAAAGAAAGGGGGCUGGGGUGGACUUGUUUAGACAGGUUCUUUGGAGCAACAGGUAGCUAUCAGGGAGUCAUGAUUCAUGAAGGGCAAGGUUGAUGUUAAGCAUAAAAUUGCUGAUCUCAUGGCCCAAUAGUCUUGACCUAAGCUACAUUUAGCACUAUAUCUACAGCACUGUUGGUUAGUUUGAAGAUUAAACUAUCCCUUUAUUCAAUUGUUACAUAUUUAGUAUCUAUUGUAAGUCAGAAAUAUUGAAAUAAAAAUUAUUUGGACUUUUGCAGUUAGUAACCAUCUCAAGUACACAUACCUGCUGCCUGUCAGACAUUGUACUAAGUACUGACAAACUUAUUGCUAACAAACUGUGAAAGUAUAUCCAUUACUAUCUAACUUCUUAUUCCAACUAGUCAGGGAAUGGAAGCAGCCUGGAUGUCUAUCGUCUGAUGAAAGGUUAGUGAAGAUGUGAAGCACAUACACAGUCGAAUAAUAUUAAAUUGUAAAGAAAAAUGAAAUUUACAGGUAAAUGGAUAGAACUGGAAAUAAUCAUUCUGAAUGACAUAACCAGGACACAGGAAGACAAAUGCUGAGCGUUACUUCUCAUAUGCUGAUUCUUUAGAGAUAUGUGUUUAAGUUAGAAUAAGUUACAUGUCCAAAAGCUAGUAAUGGCUUAUGGGGUUAGGAUUUGAAGGGAAAGGUAAUAAAAUACAAGUGGCAUGGAGGAAGAAUGGGGAAAAAUAGAACAAGAAUGGUUAAAUGGAGUGAGAGAAGAGGAGCAGGGCUGUGGAAUAAGUAUGGACAUAGAUAACGAACACUAAAGAUCUUUGAAAAUGCCAUGUGCAAGCCUACUGCUGUAGAAGCUUCCUAAAAUAUACACACAAUUAGAGCCACCCUAUAAUUAGAGUAAUACCUGCUCCAAACACCAUGGGCUAUAAUAACUUUUUUUAAUAGAGAGAAAUGCUCUCUGUCCUCAUUUUUUAUUGGAUUUUUUAUUUACAUUUCAAAGGUUAUUCCCUUUAUAAUAACUUUUUUUUUAAAGAGACAGAUAUGGGUUUCUUUUUGAUCAGUGUGAUCCCUCAGAUACUGUCUAAACAUUACAGGCCACUGCCAUUGCUCUGGGUUAUCCUCCAGAACUUGGUAACAAGAUCCUACUGCUAAAGAUACAUGUACUUGAGUUAUAGGAUAUUGAGAAAUCAAGCCCAUAUGUAAUGGAUCACUACUGACUAGCUUUCAUAGUACUAGAAAGUACUAUCCAUGCUACUUGGGGGAAAAUAAUCAAUAGUCCUACCCAGCCAUAAAUCUUGCAAGCUACAAUACCAACAAGCUCAGAAAGAUAUGUCCACCAGUAGGAAAAUAACUAGCCAAUUUCCUAUUUGAUCUAAAGCUGUACUCAUAAGACAGAACUCCUGCCUAAUGUCCUUAACCACACCAAGAGUCUGCAGCUGGUGAGGUUAUAGACCCUAAAGAAGAAUCUAAUACUAUUUCUCUGCUAAAUGUACAUAGUAGUAAACUAUCCCUAUGCUCUUACCUUUAUAACCAUAGAUUCAUAAAUCUCUCAACCCCUCAUGAGAGAAACUGCAUUUUGAGGUAAAUGGUGAUUAGACACAUUCAUAGCCAGACACUGCAGAGAAUAAGACACUGUGGUUUGGAGAGCUCUUGGGGCUGCUUCUAGAAAUUUGGCAAGCAUUUGUCACUGGGCUGGGACAAGAUCAGAUACGAAUAUUUAUAUUUACAUUUAGGCUAAUACAAAGCUUAAGGCAAACUCAGCCAAGGAAUGUGUGGCAUUCCUUUUAUCUUGGUAAUCCUGAUAAACCCUAGACCUAGUGACUACAGAACUCUGUUAUUGCCUUGUUUGAUUAUUUUAUCUUUGAUCUAAGAAUUGACCCUAUUCUUUGGAUGUAUGGAGAGUGGUAUAAAAGCAGACAAGAAAAAAAACCUGCUUCAGCCUUAGCACUGGCUGGAGUCAUAUUAUAAUGUUGUUUAAUUACUUUUUUUUCUUUUCAAUCCUCACUCCUUCCCUCCAGACCCCAUUGGCUGACUGAGCUGUCUUGGUCACUGUGGGGUGUUCUGCUCUAAAUGGAACAUCUGUAUUGAACCUCCUUCCUUCAAUCUCAGGGAUCAUCACAGAAAAAGAGGAAAAAACACUGGAAGAGUCACAGGUGGUGGAUGUAUUCAGUGAAACUGUAUGGAAAUGGCAAUGCCAUUCCACACAUGAAUUCAUGGUGGCUGUUAUUGCAUGUACAAGACCUGCAUAAGAUCAAACCAGUCAAAAUCCUAGUAUAGUUGGGGAGAGUUUGUAAUGAACUCCUACCCUUACCUGAGAACAUAUUGGGAACUGAUGGCUGCUGGAUGAAGAAGGGAAUCAGUUUUCUCCAGAGGUUUGUUCUCUCUCCCUGCUUCUAGGAUUUUGUUUUUUUGUUUUUUUUAAUAUCAAGAGAAGAAGUUUAUGAUGGGGAGAACUUUGUCAUUUGUUUAUUUAUUUUUUAAUUCAUAAAAGGAAAGCUAGGGAUAGAUGACAUUAGUACUUAAUGACAGCCCAGAAGAAACAUAGUAAGUAAUAAUUCAGGGUUAUCAGUAGGAAAGUAGAUUCUAAUUUCAUAUAGGGUAGAUAUCUGCCCAGCUCUAGUGCUGAUUAAGGCUUAUUGUAAAUAGAAAAGGAGGAGGAGAAGGAAGAGGAAGAGAAGGAAGAGAAGGAGGAAAAGGAAGAGAGGGAGAAGGGGAGAAGGAGACUGGCACCAAGGAGGUGAAAUCUUCUGGGAAGUGUUUUCUGAGAGCACAAAGAAACUGUGUUUUAGAGAAAGACUCAUGCUGAGAUGCAGACCUGGUAAUGUGUAAGAAAAUCCUGGUGAUACUGAUUAUGAAGGUGUGAAGGGGUUAUGGAAAACAAUUGAGGCUUAGUACUGGGAAGGCUCAGGAAAGGCCACUGGUGAAGGUUCAGCCUCAAGGAAGUUGAACGCCCAGUACUGAAGGGGUCAUGAAAGAAGUUCGAGGCUUAGUACCAUCAAGAGAGAAUCUUCCUGUCUACUUUCAGAAGACAAGUCUCAUUGGCUGCCUUCAUUGGUGCAUCCUCUAGCAUCAUGUCUACUUGCAUUCUGCUGUGCUUCCUGCCAUGAUAAUAAUAGACUAAAUCUCUGAAACUGUAAGGCAGUCCCAUUUAAAUGUUUGCCUUUAUAAGAGUUGACUUGGGACAUGUCUCUUCAUAGCAAUGAAACUGUAACCAAGACAAACCCUAUCCCUCAUCUCUGGUCCACCUUCAACAGAUUCACAUUCUGUAUCACCAAUUGCUCAGCACCCCCUCCACCAAUAGCAAUUAGGUAGCUUUCCCCUUUGGUCAGUGUAAACAUUUUCCAGAGUACAAGGAAGUACCAUUGAGUGUCUGGUACCCCUCUGACACUUUUAGAGCCAGCCAUGGUUUUUUAAGGUUAUAGCUGCCCUCUUCACCUGAUCCCACCCCCACCAUACUCAGAGCUGCAAUCCUAUAAUUUCCUUUGACCUAAAAGGACCAUUGCACCCCUUCUUGUCCUCAUAUCCUACCUUCCCUUUGGAUUUGCUCAUAAUCCCAUAGUUCCUCUAGACCCUGGUCCCUGGUGGCUUUUGUGACUUUUUUCUCCAACUCCUUCCUGUGGAUCACAUACCACACACACACACAUACACACACACACACACACACACACACACACACACACACACACACACACACCAAAGUUCAGUUUUCAUCCUCACCUUCUGGCCCUUUCUCCUUCUGGCCUCUAUGAAAGCCCUGGUACCAGGCACUGAGUCUCCCCUAAAGCUUAGCCAGGCUAUGCACUUGACCUCUGCUGAGUACAGUGAAGGUCCAGUGAAAGGCUUCAGUCUUACUCUAGUCCUUCCAGAGUUCUGCAAGACACCCAAGGCUACAGGUUAGUUACAGAGACAAUUUUACUUACUUCUCAUUUAUGUGAAUGGUGCCUUCCAUGCCUUCUCAUUCUUCUUGGGAUGCCUUUCAGAAAACCUGCAGCCUCUCCACUUGACACCCAACAUGAAAGUCUCUAAACUUGUUUACCUUUGCAAUCAAAUUUGGCCUCAAUAGUCCUGGACAAUCAAUCCAAAUGGCUGCAUAACAGCACACUAGAUUCAUAAUAUUUUUCAGGACAUUUACAACAACUUUGAGCCAUAGGGGCAGUGGAAAGAGAUUCCCUUUGUCCAUGCUUUCUCUUGUCAGCUCCAAGCCUCUCUGUUCUUCCUGUUCUCCCAUUCAUCUUCUUGUAGUGGUGAAGCCUGGCCAAGAUGAUUCCUCCCCUAUUUUAGAUCCAGUUGACAAGCUUUCCCCAUAGAUAUCAACCCACAGCUCACUCUCCUCUUCUAACCUCCUUGGUUUACCUUUCUCCCUCCUAAAUGAAAACUGCUCAAAUUAACCCUCCCUGGCACCUGCUGUAAGUGCACUGUCACCCCCUAGUCUUCCUGCUGCUCUUUCCUGCUCUCCCCCACCCAGUCUAAACAGGCUAUAGUUCUCUAUCUGCGGACAGUUGCCAGGGUGACAGCUUAGUCAGGGAACAUGUCUGCUUAGUAAGUAAACGUUCUCAAAUAUAAAAGAUUUGGGGUUCUAUACCACUAAUUCUUCUAUCUUUAUUAAAGAAUUCCAGUGCAAUAUCCAAUCUUAUAACCUCAUCUUCUAUAACAUUUGUAUGAUUCUUACCAAGGAGUGUAGGCAAGUCUGGGACUAGGCAGACCAAGCACCUGCAGAUGAAAUCCAUCAAACUAAUGCCACCCACCCAGCUGCUAUAAUGCCACCCUCAAGGCUAACACUUCCAUUUGGGAAGACUUUCUACUCAGAGCUAUAAUUCCCCUAAGUGUAUUUUACACUUAAAAUAUAUCUUCAAGGUUCCAUUAAAUAUUUUAUCCUUAAGUGUGAUGGACAACUAAUGAAGAAAGAGAAAAUCUGUCUAUGCUUGAACAUAAAACUCUCAGGUUUGCAAACUUUGAACAGACCUCAUAAUAUUUAUAAUGACAAUAAAGAAACCUUACUAAUAGUUG